RNAcentral lists this ribosomal RNA (492 nucleotides) under uncultured bacterium. RNAcentral's name for it is "partial 16S ribosomal RNA". It matches the Rfam family "Bacterial small subunit ribosomal RNA", at positions 29 to 507 of the family's 1533-position model. The record is from RNAcentral.
AGUGAACGCUGGCGGUAGGCCUAACACAUGCAAGUCGAACGGCAGCACAGUAAGAGCUUGCUCUUACGGGUGGCGAGUGGCGGACGGGUGAGGAAUACAUCGGAAUCUACUUUUUCGUGGGGGAUAACGUAGGGAAACUUACGCUAAUACCGCAUACGACCUACGGGUGAAAGCAGGGGAUCUUCGGACCUUGCGCGAUUGAAUGAGCCGAUGUCGGAUUAGCUAGUUGGCGGGGUAAAGGCCCACCAAGGCGACGAUCCGUAGCUGGCCUGAGAGGAUGAUCAGCCACACUGGAACUGAGACACGGUCCAGACUCCUACGGGAGGCAGCAGUGGGGAAUAUUGGACAAUGGGCGCAAGCCUGAUCCAGCCAUACCGCGUGGGUGAAGAAGGCCUUCGGGUUGUAAAGCCCUUUUGUUGGGAAAGAAAAGCAGCAGGUUAAUACCCCGCUGUUCUGACGGUACCCAAAGAAUAAGCACCGGCUAACCUCGUG